Sinocyclocheilus anshuiensis is the source of this 235-nucleotide long non-coding RNA. RefSeq lists it as uncharacterized. The record is from RefSeq and is a predicted model, not a curated record. The transcript has 3 exons. NCBI's taxonomy places the organism in Eukaryota, Metazoa, Chordata, Actinopteri, Cypriniformes, Cyprinidae.
UGAGUUGUCACCCUUCUUGGUUGAGGGGAAGUCUAGUGACUAGCCGCUCCACUCUGUCCUCACGGCAACCGAUAGGAAUCUCGCUAACUGCAGCUAAAGCGAACCAAAGUAACCAAUCAGAGGCUCCGCCGAGCAUCCCUGACGUAACCGGAACAUCACGUUGAGUGGAUGUACUGACGCAAGGGUUGGAGCUGUCAUAGGAUGCCUUUGAUACGAGGCCGAAAAAUGCGGGGGA